GGUGUUCUGAGAGGAAGGUCCCCCACACUGGUACUGAGACACGGACCAGACUCCUACGGGAGGCAGCAGUGAGGAAUAUUGGUCAAUGGACGCAAGUCUGAACCAGCCAUGUCGCGUGAAGGAAGACGGUUCUAUGGAUUGUAAACUUCUUUUAUACGGGAAGAAACGUAUCUACGUGUAGAUAUUUGCCGGUACCGUAUGAAUAAGCACCGGCUAACUCCGUGCCAGCAGCCGCGGUAAUACGGAGGGUGCGAGCGUUAUCCGGAUUUAUUGGGUUUAAAGGGUGCGUAGGCGGAAUAAUAAGUCAGUGGUGAAAUCUUGCAGCUUAACUGUAAAACUGCCAUUGAUACUGUUAUUCUUGAAUUUAGUUGAGGUAGGCGGAAUGUGUUGUGUAGCGGUGAAAUGCAUAGAUAUAACACAGAACACCGAUUGCGAAGGCAGCUUACUAAGCUAUAAUUGACGCUGAUGCACGAAAGCGUGGGUAGCGAACAGGAUUAGAUACCCUGGUAGUCCACGCCGUAAACGAUGAUUACUCGUUGUUGGCAAUACAUAGUCAGCGACUGAGCGAAAGCAUUAAGUAAUCCACCUGGGGAGUACGUUGGCAACAAUGAAACUCAAAGGAAUUGACGGGGGCCCGCACAAGCGGAGGAACAUGUGGUUUAAUUCGAUGAUACGCGAGGAACCUUACCUGGACUUAAAUGUAGAUUGACAGGCUUAGAGAUAGGCUUUUCUUCGGACAAUUUACAAGGUGCUGCAUGGUUGUCGUCAGCUCGUGCCGUGAGGUGUCGGGUUAAGUCCCAUAACGAGCGCAACCCCUAUCUUUAGUUACCAGCAUGUAGUGGUGGGGACUCUAAAGAGACUGCCGGUGUAAACCGUGAGGAAGGUGGGGAUGACGUCAAAUCAGCACGGCCCUUACGUCCAGGGCUACACACGUGUUACAAUGGUCGGUACAAAGGGCAGCUACCUAGCGAUAGGAUGCUAAUCUCUAAAACCGAUCUCAGUUCGGAUCGGAGUCUGCAACUCGACUCCGUGAAGCUGGAUUCGCUAGUAAUCGCAUAUCAGCCAUGAUGCGGUGAAUACGUUCCCGGGCCUUGUACACACCGCCCGUCAAACCAUGGAAGUUGGGGGUACCUGAAGUCUGUUACCGUAAGGAGCGGCCUAGGGUAAAACUAAUAACUAGGGUUAAGUCGUAACAAGGUA
Molecule: ribosomal RNA, 1200 nt
Filed under: metagenome
Description: bacterial SSU rRNA
Rfam family: Bacterial small subunit ribosomal RNA
Source: RNAcentral